UACAGAGGUCCCGAGCGUUGUUCGGAUUCACUGGGCGUAAAGGGUGCGUAGGUGGCGAGGUAAGUUUGAUGUGAAAUCUCCGGGCUUAACCCGGAAAAUGCAUUGAAUACUAUUUUGCUGGAGGGUUGGAGGGGGGACUGGAAUUCUCGGUGUAGCAGUGAAAUGCGUAGAUAUCAAGUGGAACACCAGUGGCGAAGGCGAGUCCCUGGACAACUCCUGACACUGAGGCACGAAAGCUAGGGGAGCAAACAGG
This 253-nucleotide ribosomal RNA is filed under the name uncultured bacterium. RNAcentral describes it as "partial 16S ribosomal RNA". It matches the Rfam family "Bacterial small subunit ribosomal RNA", at positions 524 to 776 of the family's 1533-position model. The record is from RNAcentral.